GGUCCGUUGGUGUAAUGGUGAGCACGUCCUGUUCGACCUGGUGUGAAGAUAUGGGUUCGAAUCCCAUGCGGGCCA
RNAcentral lists this transfer RNA (75 nucleotides) under Neurospora pannonica FGSC 7221. RNAcentral describes it as "tRNA-Ser (CGA) (tRNA-Ser-CGA-8-1)". It matches the Rfam family "tRNA". From Rfam's summary of the family: Transfer RNA (tRNA) molecules are approximately 80 nucleotides in length. Their secondary structure includes four short double-helical elements and three loops (D, anti-codon, and T loops). Further hydrogen bonds mediate the characteristic L-shaped molecular structure. tRNAs have two regions of fundamental functional importance: the anti-codon, which is responsible for specific mRNA codon recognition, and the 3' end, to which the tRNAs corresponding amino acid is attached (by aminoacyl-tRNA synthetases). tRNAs cope with the degeneracy of the genetic code in two manners: having more than one tRNA (with a specific anti-codon) for a particular amino acid; and 'wobble' base-pairing, i.e. permitting non-standard base-pairing at the 3rd anti-codon position. The record is from RNAcentral. Lineage: Eukaryota; Fungi; Ascomycota; Sordariomycetes; Sordariales; Sordariaceae.